AUUGAACGCUGGCGGCAGGCCUAACACAUGCAAGUCGAACGGUAGCACAGAGAGCUUGCUCUCGGGUGACGAGUGGCGGACGGGUGAGUAAUGUCUGGGAAACUGCCGAUGGAGGGGGAUAACUACUGGAAACGGUAGCUAAUACCGCAUAACGUCGCAAGACCAAAGUGGGGGACCUUCGGGCCUCACACCAUCGGAUGUGCCCUGAUGGGAUUAGCUAGUAGGUGGGGUAAUGGCUCACCUAGGCGACGAUCCCUAGCUGGUCUGAGAGGAUGACCAGCCACACUGGAACUGAGACACGGUCCAGACUCCUACGGGAGGCAGCAGUGGGGAAUAUUGCACAAUGGGCGCAAGCCUGAUGCAGCCAUGCCGCGUGUAUGAAGAGGGCCUUCGGGUUGUAAAGUACUUUCAGCGGGGAGGAAGGCUGUGAAGUUAAUAGCUUCACCGAUUGACGUUACCCGCAGAAGAAGCACCGGCUAACUCCGUGCCAGCCGCCGCCGUAA
Molecule: ribosomal RNA, 503 nt
Filed under: uncultured bacterium
Lineage: Bacteria
Description: partial 16S ribosomal RNA
Rfam family: Bacterial small subunit ribosomal RNA
Source: RNAcentral